Molecule: long non-coding RNA, 209 nt
Organism: Mauremys mutica (yellowpond turtle)
Lineage: Eukaryota; Metazoa; Chordata; Testudines; Geoemydidae
Exons: 3
Source: RefSeq, a predicted model, not a curated record
AGAAAAGGCUGUCUGUGUCUUUAAGACUAGAUGAUUCAGCUGACAAUACUUCCAGGGAAGUUUGCAGACAGUUUGCUCACACAGUAGAAUCUUUCUGGUUUGCAGGUGGAUGUAUAAAUGGUGACUAAUGUGUGGCUUGGCAGGUGAGCAGAUUUACAAAGCACAGAUCUCUGGACAUUCAAAGGGUCCUGUAUGAUCAUAGACGAGAG